GGGUCAUUAGGUUGGUCGUGCCACCGGUACGUACUGGUCUCACUGAUUCCUCCUUCCUGAAGAACCGUAAUGCCAUUAAUUUGGUGUUGCGGGGAAACAGGACUGUUACUUCGAAAAAAUUAGAGUGUUUAAAGCAAGCUAACGCUUGAAUACAUUAGCAUGGAAUAAUGAAAUAGGACGAUCGAUCCUAUUUUGUUGGUUUCUAGGAUUGACGUA
Molecule: ribosomal RNA, 216 nt
Filed under: Glomeromycotina sp.
Lineage: Eukaryota; Fungi; Glomeromycota
Description: partial small subunit ribosomal RNA
Rfam family: Eukaryotic small subunit ribosomal RNA (bases 40-216)
Source: RNAcentral